GAUCAGGAGUCUGCCACUGGAGUCGGCACGCCUGCUUUUCACCUGUGAUCCCAGGAGAGGAAGCAGCUGCCUCUGAGGCCUCAGGCUCAGUGGC
MicroRNA precursor from Gorilla gorilla gorilla (western lowland gorilla), 94 nucleotides. Lineage: Eukaryota; Metazoa; Chordata; Mammalia; Primates; Hominidae. The record is from Ensembl.